RNAcentral lists this long non-coding RNA (3850 nucleotides) under Homo sapiens (human). RNAcentral's name for it is "HSALNT0120735". The record is from RNAcentral. Lineage: Eukaryota; Metazoa; Chordata; Mammalia; Primates; Hominidae.
UUUCAUUGCAGACAGUGGGGUCCGAUAAGGCUGUUCUGGCCACUAGAUGGUGGUUGUGUUUAUCGAAGACUACUGGAUGCCUGCCAAAUAUCUGUGUUAGUCCAUUUUCACACUGCUAUAAAGAAAUACCCAAGACUGGGUCACUUAUAAAAGAAAGAGGUUUCAUUGACUCACAGUUCCGCAUGGCUGGGGAGGCCUCCGGAAACUUACAAUUAUAAGGUCAUGCUUUGGCAGGAGAAAGAGAAGCAAGUACCUUCUUCACAAGGAAGCAGGAAAGAGAGAGGGUGCACAAAGGGGAAAGAGCCCCUUAUAAAACCAUCAGAUCUCGUGAGAAACCCCUCACUAUUAUGAGAACAGCAUGGGGCAAACCACCCCCAUGAUCCAAUCACCUCCCACCAAGCCCCUCCCUUGACAUGUGGGGAUUACAAUUGAGAUAUUGAGCUUGGAACGCAGGAGGCGAUGCUUCUGCCCUCUUGACUCUGGUUAGAAUGUGCAUCAGGUGAAUCCUGUUUAGUCCUGGUUGCUGAACCACAGAGGGAGUUGAACAUACUGGAGCUUAUCCAGGCAAUAUGACCGUCAGGAAACUGCAUCACUGAGGAAGUUCUGAGGGAGUUGGAACUAGACAGUUUAAAGCGACGGCCGGACAAGCUAGUGUCUCCUAGGAGCCAAUGGCUAAGGGCAGAGGGAGCAGAGGGGUUCUGUAUGGCCCUGGAGUGCAGAGCAAGUAUCGGUGAACCGAAGUUACAGGGAGGCAGAUGUUUGUCUAAGACAAAGAAUCUUCUCGGGGUCAGAGCUGUCCGUGUGGACCGGAAGCCUGGGGAGGGAGUGAACAGCACAACCUGAGAGAAGUUUGAGAGGAGGCUGAGGAGUUCCUCUGCUCCCCCAGGAAGUGUGGAGCAGAAACCACAUCUCAGAUGCCCGCAGGAGCCAGGCCAACUUUAUGGGAGAAUUUAGCUUAAGAAAGAGGGUUUAAGUCGCCUGAAAUGUGUGUGAGUUCACCCUGGACGAGCUUCUGCUGCCAAUUGCAUCACAGGAAACACUCUUCCUAUGUCUAACUGUGUCCAGAAUUGGUUCCUGCCUAUGGGUUCUUGGUCUCACUGACUUCAAGAAUGAAGCCGCAGACCCUCGUGGUGAGUGUUACAAUUCUUAAAGAUGGUAUGUCUGGAGUUUGUUCCUUCAGAUGUUCAGAUGUGUCCAGAGUUUCUUACUUCUGGUGGGUUCGUGGUCUUGCUGACUUCAGGAGUGAAGCCGCAGACCUUUGCAAUGAGUGUUACAGCUCAUAAAGGUAGUGCAGACCCAAAGCGUGAGCAGCAGCAAGAUUUAUUGUGAAGAGCAAAAGAACAAAGCUUCCACAGUGUGGAAGAGGACCUCAGCCAGUUGCAGCUGCUGGUUUGGGUGGCGAGCUUUUACUCCCUUAUUUGGCCCUGCCCAUGCCCUGCUGAUCGGUCCAUUCUACAGAGCGCUGAUUGGUCCACUUUACAGAGUGCUGAUUGGUCCAUUUUUAGAGUGCUGAUUGGUGCAUUUACAAACCUUUAGCUAGACACAGAGCGCUGAUUGGUGCGUUUUUACAGAGUGCUGAUUGGUCUGUUUACAAACCUUUAGCUAGACGCAGAGCACUGAUUGGUGUGUUUUUACUAGUGCUGAUUGUUGUGCUUACAAACUUUUAGCUAGACACAGAGCGCUGAUUGGUGCGUUUUUACAGAGUGCUGAUUGGUGUGUUUACAAACCUUUAGCUAGAUGCAGAGCACUGAUUGGUGUGUUUUUACGAGUGCUGAUUGUUGUGCUUACAAACUUUUAGCUAGACACAGAGCGCUGAUUGGUGCGUUUUUACAGAGUGCUGAUUGGUGCAUUUACAAACCUUUAGGUAGACACAGAGCGCUGAUUGGUGUGUUUACAAUCCUUUAGCUAGACAGAAAAGUUCUCCAAGUCCCCACCCGACCCAGAAGCCCAGCUGGCUUCACCUCUCAUAACUAAUUCAAGUAUCUCUUUAAUUAGUUUUGACUUGCAGUUAAUCUAAAUGGAUUCUCCACAGGGAACAGCAGUCGCAGUGCAGAAGCUCUUUGCUUUUGCUUUUGGGUAACUGGCCUAACAAACAGAUUUUACACUUUAUAUUGAAAUAAUUCCUAUGUCAUUAUUACUAAGUUUUGGUCUGCUUAGAAAAAACUGAGAUUAAAAGAAAAACUAUUUUUCAUUAAGGUUAUUACAUCUGUGUAACUUUCUGUAUGUGCUUUUAAAGUCCUUGUGCCAUCAAGUUACAGGGUUUAGACUCCUGGGUCUAAAAAGGAUGCCAAGUCCGGCUAAAUCUUAAACACUGACAGCAGUUAAAGCUUUAUCUUCAGACCCUGUAGAAGAUACCAAUCAAAAUAAACUGUGUUCAUGAGACACAGGGCCAGAAAUUAAAACUAUUCAACUCCUCAAGACCCAGGAACUAUCAUGGAAGACAUGGGUGUGUGACAUUGUAAGGGUCAAUUUUGAGAGAUAAAAUAAGUUUAGUUUCUCUAUAAAUUAACCAUUAAUGUCGAAGGCACUGAUGCAAGACUAGCAUAUGGGCCUCUGAGUCAGAUUAACAAGGUUUUCUUGGAGCGUUAACCCACUCCUUAAUAAAAGGUUAUAAAAAAGGCUUAUGGAAAUUACAUCUUAUGGUCAAGAUGAUUAAACUAUUUAAUAUUAUAGGCUGUUUAUAAAAUUUUGGAGAACAAGUUUAAUUGGCCUCAUCCUGUCUUUAUUAAGGCUUAUUGUUUGGGAAAUGAAGUCUCCUCUCAAAGAAUAAAGGUUUUCGCCUUAAAAAAAAUCUUUGAGUUAUCGCUUUGUCUAAAUGAAUGACUUUACAAUGACCUGUGAUCCUACUUUGUGAUAUUAAGUGUUUUAAACUUUUUAUGUUUGACAAACCUUCGACAAUCAAAUUCUAACUUUGGUCCUCAUUAAUUUUUUGAUAUUAGUCCCCUGAAGUCCAAAAGAGACAUAUUUGGUUUAUUUGAUAUAAUAAAAUCAUACAGGAAGUAUUGUCAAGUAUAAAACAAUGUUUAAUCUUCUUUGGAUUAUAUUUAUGCACAUAUGUUAUUGGUAUAUGUUUGAGAAUUGUAUGAAAUUCCUGUGAUUCUGAUAUGACUUGGCAUAUGUUAUCAGUGGUAAUUAUUAUUAUUAUGUAAUUGUGGUAAUUAUAAUUAUGUAAAAUUGUUGUAUGCCACAGAAGUAACCAAAUAUCUUUGUCAAUUGUGUCUUUAUGACUGUUCUAAGACUUUUGUUAUCCACAGUUGUUUUACUUUUAUCCUAUUCAAAAGGUGGUUUUAUAAUCAGCUGUGGGACUCUGACAGGUGCUCUUGAAUGCAGGCUUCUAAUAACUUUGGAGACUGUGACACUAGAAUAGAGGAAAAACUUCCAAGACUCCAGUGGAGAGCUGAAAUGUUCAUGAAUAUCAAGCAGAAAAGAAGUUAACUGCAUGGACUGAACUAAUAGAAAACUGAAAUAGUCCUUUUAUGACUUUUUGCCUAAAACAUUGCUGACCCUUUGUUUUUCAGAGCCAAGAAAACUUUUCUUUUGAGCUAUUUAUAGCUUUUAACAAUGGAGUAAAGUAUAUUUCUGUAAACAAAAUUUGGAGCAUAUUUCUCUCUACCUGAUUUCUCCAAAAUUUAGAAACUAGUUGUGAGUAUUCUUAACUUAUGGCAAUAUAGUUAUUUGCAUACAUGCAAUAAGAAUCUUUCCUCUGAGAAAGAUUCUUUCUCAAGAAUGUUCCUUUGUAACAGGGCACAAUUGGAGACACUGGUUAUUUUACCAAGGUUUUGACUGGAAUAGGAUGCUUUCAGAUACAAACAGACUCCUUUAAAGAAUGAAAGUUGACUUUAGAGCCAAU